Molecule: ribosomal RNA, 444 nt
Filed under: uncultured bacterium
Lineage: Bacteria
Description: partial 16S ribosomal RNA
Rfam family: Bacterial small subunit ribosomal RNA
Source: RNAcentral
CUACGGGUGGCUGCAGUGGGGAAUAUUGCACAAUGGGCGCAAGCCUGAUGCAGCAACGCCGCGUGAGGGACGAAGGCCUUCGGGUUGUAAACCUCUUUUAGCAGGGAAGAAGCGAAAGUGACGGUACCUGCAGAAAAGGCACCGGCUAACUACGUGCCAGCAGCCGCGGUAAUACGUAGGGUGCAAGCGUUGUCCGGAAUUAUUGGGCGUAAAGAGCUCGUAGGCGGUUUGUCACGUCUGCUGUGAAAUUUCGAGGCUCAACCUCGAACUUGCAGUGGGUACGGGCAGGCUAGAGUGCGGUAGGGGAGAUGGGAAUUCCUGGUGUAGCGGUGGAAUGCGCAGAUAUCAGGAGGAACACCAAUGGCGAAGGCACAUCUCUGGGCCGUAACUGACGCUGAGGAGCGAAAGCGUGGGGAGCAAACAGGAUUAGAUACCCGGGUAGUC